RNAcentral lists this long non-coding RNA (1126 nucleotides) under Ananas comosus (pineapple). RNAcentral describes it as "long non-coding RNA (ACOM_LNC014174)". The record is from RNAcentral. Lineage: Eukaryota; Viridiplantae; Streptophyta; Magnoliopsida; Poales; Bromeliaceae.
UUUAUUUUUUUAGAGAUAAAUCUCAGGCACUAAAAUAUAUAUUUUUUUUGAGAGAUAAGUAGCGCGCUAUCUGCUUCGUUUAUUUCAUUUAGAAAUAAAUUUAGUUGAAAAUGUGAAUUAACUAGGAUUCGAACUUGGGUAUCGGGUACCAGCCACCAAGCCUUUUACCACUUGCUCUAGGGACGGUCAGCGACACUAAAGUAUAUUGAAGUGAAGUUAGUUAGACUAGCUAGGACAAAGUCUCAACACCUGAAGAGCCCAUUUGGAUUGGCUACAAUAUGGGGUAUAAGGUCCUUAUACCCCAUUUUGUACCCAAAUAAAAUUUUUUGGGUUAGUUCCCACCCAGGGUGGGAACAAACUUGUUUCCACCGAGCUUGUUCCUGUUUUAAAAUAGAAUUUAAAUUUUUAAAAUUUAAAAUUUGUAAUAUAAAAAUUAAAAUUCUAAAUUCUAAAUUCUAAAUUUUAAAUUUGAUAUUUUAAUAUUUUAAAUUUUAAAAUAUCAAAAAUUUUAUAUCUUUCAAAUUUAAAUUUGGUCUUAAAUUUAAAUUUUCAAAUUUAAAAUUUUUAAAUUUGAAGAUUUAAAUUUUAAAUUUUAAUUUUAAAAUUUAAAUUUUAAAAGUUAAAAAUUAAAUUUAAAAUUAUAAAUGUAAAAUUUAAAAAAAUUAAAUUCAAAUAUAAUGAGAGGGAUAAUAUAAUUAUUUUCUAUUUAUAACUAUUCAUUAUUCUCCUUAUUCCAUUUUAUCUAUCCAAAUACUAUUUUUCUUAUUUCCGGAAACAAUCUAAUUUUCAUCCAAACACAAGAUUGAUCUAAUUCUCACUUAUAUCUAAACUUGUACUUAUCGCUGAAAUAAACAGUUCUUACUUAUACCCAAACCAAACGAAGCGUAUAGGGAUUAAUUCAGCUUGUCCAAAAAAAAAAAAAACUUAAUUCGGAUGGAUUAACUGUGUUGCAUAACAAAACGUAGUUUUUUUUGUUUUUGGGGAGACAAAUAUAGCUGCAAAUUAUUCACUUCAUUCAUUGUUUAAGAAAUAAAAUCGAAUUAAAAACCUCAGAUACCAACUAUAUAUCAAGCUCUUAGAUAAAUUAGGGGUGCCAAUUCAGCUCGCUAUUUGCGAGGCAGUUGAA